CGUUAUUGAAGAAGCUUCACUGAAGAAAAUUACAGCAAAACUUGAUUUAAUAGGGUACAAACACAACUACAGUACUGAGGGGUAAUUGUUCGUGCAUACCUCGCCGAGAAUGAAGAGAAAAUUUCGCAGUUCAAGAGAUGACUACUUAUCCUGCACCAUAAAAGUACUUUAUAACUCACAGUUGAUGGAUAACAAGGUUAAAGAGUAGUUAUAACCCAAGGAGACGAAUGUUCUAAAAAAUGGAAGCUCAAAAUCAGUAGUAGACGACCCAAAUCAUGUUAAAAAGUACCUAAGGUAGCAGUGUUACAUGAACACCGACUCGACUAGUAGCAGCAUAUACACAGGGUAUUUUAUGUUUGAUAUUGACUAUCUGAGUGCUAUGAAA
Molecule: long non-coding RNA, 385 nt
Organism: Mytilus trossulus (common blue mussel)
Lineage: Eukaryota; Metazoa; Mollusca; Bivalvia; Mytilida; Mytilidae
Exons: 3
Source: RefSeq, a predicted model, not a curated record